GCGGCUGUGGCGAAAUUGGCAUACGCGCCAGAUUUAGGUUCUGGUGGGAAACCGUGCAGGUUCAAGUCCUGUCAGCCGUA
RNAcentral lists this transfer RNA (80 nucleotides) under Oscillospiraceae bacterium. Its description in RNAcentral is "tRNA-Leu". It matches the Rfam family "tRNA". From Rfam's summary of the family: Transfer RNA (tRNA) molecules are approximately 80 nucleotides in length. Their secondary structure includes four short double-helical elements and three loops (D, anti-codon, and T loops). The record is from RNAcentral. Lineage: Bacteria; Bacillati; Bacillota; Clostridia; Eubacteriales; Oscillospiraceae.